Molecule: ribosomal RNA, 610 nt
Filed under: Cryptococcus sp. CAB 580
Lineage: Eukaryota; Fungi; Basidiomycota; Tremellomycetes; Tremellales; Cryptococcaceae
Description: eukaryotic LSU rRNA
Rfam family: Eukaryotic large subunit ribosomal RNA
Source: RNAcentral
UAAGGAUUUCCCGUAAAACGGCGAGUGACCGGGAAGAGCUCAAAUUUGAAAUCUGGCGUGCUCAGUGCGUCCGAGUUGUAAUCUAUAGAGGCGUUUUCCGUGCCGGACUGUGUCUAAGUCCCUUGGAACAGGGUAUCAAAGAGGGUGAUAAUCCCGUACUUGACACAAUGACCGGUGCUCUGUGAUACGUCUUCUACGAGUCGAGUUGUUUGGGAAUGCAGCUCAAAAUGGGUGGUGAGUUCCAUCUAAAGCUAAAUAUUGGCGAGAGACCGAUAGCGAACAAGUACCGUGAGGGAAAGAUGAAAAGCACUUUGGAAAGAGAGUUAAACAGUACGUGAAAUUGUUGAAAGGGAAACGAUUGAAGUCAGUCGUGACUGAGAGGCUCAGCCGGUUCUGCCGGUGUAUUCCCCUCAGUCGGGUCAACAUCAGUUUUGUUCGGUGGAUAAGGGCAGCUGGAAGGUGGCACCUCCGGGUGUGUUAUAGCCAGCUGUCGCAUACAUCGAAUGAGACUGAGGAAUGCAGCUCGCCUUUAUGGCCGGGGUUCGCCCACGUCCGAGCUUAGGAUGUUGACAUAAUGGCUUUAAACGACCCGUCUUGAAACACGGACCAA